This 840-nucleotide unclassified non-coding RNA is filed under the name Heterocoma albida. Its description in RNAcentral is "partial external transcribed spacer". The record is from RNAcentral. Lineage: Eukaryota; Viridiplantae; Streptophyta; Magnoliopsida; Asterales; Asteraceae.
GACGGUUGUGGGAUUGUUCGAUGGCCUUGGAAACACUACGGUGGGUUUAGUCGAUGACGGGUUGAGGUGUUCUUCCCCCCCUGGACACCGAGAGGACAACACGCGAACCCGUUAUCGAAGCAGAGGUCCCGAUCGACGUGUUGUCCCGAUGGGUCGAUCAACAGUUCAGAUUUUGUAGGCAACGAUCGACCGACCGACCCGAUUGAUGGUAUUGUUGUUGUGGGAAAUGUUGGAUUGAAUCGAUUGACGGUUUCAAUUUUGUGGGAAACGAUGGACCGACCCGAUUGAUGGUUUUGAUUUUGUGGGAAAUUAUGUAUCGACCCGAUUGACGGCAAUGGAUAUCUCGCAUCGUGCGGUGCUUUCCUUGGUUCCAACUCGGCUAAAGGUUGCAUUCUUGGCCUUUGUGCUAGGAUGUGGCUAUUAGUUGGGUGGUUUUAGGGAUUGUUGACCGUAAAGGUGCAUGAGUUGUGUUUGGUUUGUUACGUGUCGUUGGCUGUCUGCUUAUGCAACAACGUCGACACGUGCAGACUUCUUCAUCUAUUGUGAAAGCGUGCUUUGCUUUUGCAUGUUGUGGGUUUCUAGCGUUGUGUUCCUGAAUUGUGGCAUUUUAUGGUUUGAACGACGUGUUUUUAAUCAUGUCACACAUAUGUGUGCCAUGUGAAAAGGCAUGAAGCUAUCUCUUCGAUCCAUUUCGUCUUCGUCUUUGGCAUUGACGUUCUGGCUUGUUGAGAAAGCUGGUCUCAUGGAUGCGGAGCUUGACUCGGUGAUUUGGUUUUAUUAACCAUUUUGGUUGCCAUUACUAGAUGUUUUUGCCUUUCCUUCAUAUGACCGUCCAUCGUG